GGGGUUGCUUGGUUUUGACAGCUCGUAUGUGGGAAUGUAAGCACGUCGGACGUUGUAAGUAGGUUCCGCAAUAGCCAACUUUCAUGCCACAAUAAAUGGCGAAAACAACAAUUUUGCUCUCGCUGCGUAAUCAGAUUACGUAGGAAAGCCAUCUCGCCAAAAGCCCUUCUCUACGGCGUUUGGAAUUGAGGUGUCGGAAAAGUGGAGAUAGCAUGAGUAAGCCUCGUUGCAAGUGCGAAACUUUUAGAGGAUAAGUUGCCGAUUAGCAUAGCCUUGUGCAGGUCUGCAAACGAAAAUUAAAUCAAGGAUAAGCGUGUAGAAAGCAUUUUUGCAACGUGUUUGGACGAGGGUUCGACUCCCUCCAGCUCCAC
RNAcentral lists this transfer-messenger RNA (371 nucleotides) under bovine gut metagenome. It matches the Rfam family "transfer-messenger RNA". Rfam says of the family: Bacterial tmRNA, also known as 10Sa RNA or SsrA, is named for its dual tRNA and mRNA-like properties. RNAcentral also lists the same sequence under 1 other name. The record is from RNAcentral.